AUGUCAGAAGCAAGAUAGAAGGGAAGCCAUUUUGCUGCUAUGAUUGUGUGAAAUGUCCAUAUGGGAAGAUUUCCAACCAAGAAGACAUGGAUGAAUGCUUUCAAUGUCCAGAAGAUCAGUACCCUAAUAAGAAGCGGGAUUAUUGUCUCCCCAAAAUUAUAACAUUUUUGAAGUAUGAAGAAACUUUGGGAACUAUAUUGGCCAGUUCUGCUCUUUUCUUUGCUUUGGUCACAGCUACAAUCCUCUGGAUCUUUAUUAAGCAUCAGGACACUCCCAUUGUCAAAGCCAACAACCGGAAUCUCACCUAUGCUCUCCUUGUUGGUCUCAUGUUGUCUUUUCUUUGUUCAUUGUUAUUCCUAGGAAAACCUGGCAAGAUGCUGACAUGAAUUCAGUGGUAGAAGAAAUCAUACUAGAAUGUAACGAAGGAUCUGUCUUCAUGUUCUACUGUAUCUUGGGCUAUAUGGGUCUCCUUGCUAUUAUCAGCUUUACAGUGGCUUUCCUAGCCAGGAAUUUGCCUGAUGUUUUCAAUGAAGCCAAGUUUAUCACCUUCA
Pantherophis guttatus is the source of this 551-nucleotide long non-coding RNA. RefSeq lists it as uncharacterized. The record is from RefSeq and is a predicted model, not a curated record. Lineage: Eukaryota; Metazoa; Chordata; Lepidosauria; Squamata; Colubridae.